RNAcentral lists this ribosomal RNA (480 nucleotides) under Rahnella sp. Z3NS-275. RNAcentral describes it as "bacterial SSU rRNA". It matches the Rfam family "Bacterial small subunit ribosomal RNA", at positions 28 to 496 of the family's 1533-position model. The record is from RNAcentral. Lineage: Bacteria; Pseudomonadati; Pseudomonadota; Gammaproteobacteria; Enterobacterales; Yersiniaceae.
AGAUGAACGCUGGCGGCAGGCCUAACACAUGCAAGUCGAGCGGCAGCGGGAAGUAGCUUGCUACUUUGCCGGCGAGCGGCGGACGGGUGAGUAAUGUCUGGGAAACUGCCUGAUGGAGGGGGAUAACUACUGGAAACGGUAGCUAAUACCGCAUGACCUCGCAAGAGCAAAGUGGGGGACCUUCGGGCCUCACGCCAUCGGAUGUGCCCAGAUGGGAUUAGCUAGUAGGUGAGGUAAUGGCUCACCUAGGCGACGAUCCCUAGCUGGUCUGAGAGGAUGACCAGCCACACUGGAACUGAGACACGGUCCAGACUCCUACGGGAGGCAGCAGUGGGGAAUAUUGCACAAUGGGCGCAAGCCUGAUGCAGCCAUGCCGCGUGUGUGAAGAAGGCCUUAGGGUUGUAAAGCACUUUCAGCGAGGAGGAAGGGUUCAGUGUUAAUAGCACUGUUCAUUGACGUUACUCGCAGAAGAAGCACCGG